AGAGCGAACGCUGGCGGCAGGCUUAACACAUGCAAGUCGAGCGGGCGUAGCAAUACGUCAGCGGCAGACGGGUGAGUAACGCGUGGGAACAUACCUUUUGGUUCGGAACAACACAGGGAAACUUGUGCUAAUACCGGAUAAGCCCUUACGGGGAAAGAUUUAUCGCCGAAAGAUUGGCCCGCGUCUGAUUAGCUAGUUGGUGAGGUAAUGGCUCACCAAGGCGACGAUCAGUAGCUGGUCUGAGAGGAUGAUCAGCCACAUUGGGACUGAGACACGGCCCAAACUCCUACGGGAGGCAGCAGUGGGAAUAUUGGACAAUGGGGGCAACCCUGAUCCAGCCAUGCCGCGUGAGUGAUGAAGGCCCUAGGGUUGUAAAGCUCUUUUGUGCGGGAAGAUAAUGACGGUACCGCAAGAAUAAGCCCGGCUAACUUCGCGCCAGCAGCCGC
Molecule: ribosomal RNA, 446 nt
Filed under: uncultured bacterium
Lineage: Bacteria
Description: SSU rRNA
Rfam family: Bacterial small subunit ribosomal RNA
Source: RNAcentral